This 505-nucleotide ribosomal RNA is filed under the name uncultured bacterium. RNAcentral describes it as "partial 16S ribosomal RNA". It matches the Rfam family "Bacterial small subunit ribosomal RNA", at positions 28 to 507 of the family's 1533-position model. The record is from RNAcentral.
GACGAACGCUGGCGGCGUGCCUAAUACAUGCAAGUGGGACGCAAGGAAACACACUGUGCUUGCACACCGUGUUUUCUUGAGUCGCGAACGGGUGAGUAACGCGUAGGUAACCUGCCUAUUAGCGGGGGAUAACUAUUGGAAACGAUAGCUAAUACCGCAUAAUAUUAAUUAUUGCAUGAUAAUUGAUUGAAAGAUGCAAGCGCAUCACUAGUAGAUGGACCUGCGUUGUAUUAGCUAGUUGGUAAGGUAAGAGCUUACCAAGGCGACGAUACAUAGCCGACCUGAGAGGGUGAUCGGCCACACUGGGACUGAGACACGGCCCAGACUCCUACGGGAGGCAGCAGUAGGGAAUUUUCGGCAAUGGACGAAAGUCUGACCGAGCAACGCCGCGUGAGUGAAGAAGGUUUUCGGAUCGUAAAGCUCUGUUGUAAGUCAAGAACGUGUGUGAGAGUGGAAAGUUCACACAGUGACGGUAGCUUACCAGAAAGGGACGGCUAACUACGUG